This 77-nucleotide transfer RNA is filed under the name Prolixibacteraceae bacterium JC049. Its description in RNAcentral is "tRNA-Thr". It matches the Rfam family "tRNA". Rfam says of the family: Transfer RNA (tRNA) molecules are approximately 80 nucleotides in length. Their secondary structure includes four short double-helical elements and three loops (D, anti-codon, and T loops). The record is from RNAcentral. Lineage: Bacteria; Pseudomonadati; Bacteroidota; Bacteroidia; Marinilabiliales; Prolixibacteraceae.
GCCGAAUUAGCUCAGUUGGCCAGAGCACGUGAUUUGUAAUCUCGGGGUCCCCAGUUCGAAUCUGGGAUUCGGCUCAA